AACGUAGGUGGCAAGCGUUAUCCGGAAUUACUGGGCGUAAAGGGUGUGCAGGCGGGGAAGCAAGUGAUGUAUGAAAUCUCCAGGCUUAACCUGGAGGGGUUAUGCCAGACUGCAUCUCUAGAGGACGAGAGAGGGGGGUGGAAUUCCGGGUGUAGUGGUGAAAUGCGUAGAGAUCCGGAGGAACCCCAGAGGCGAAGGCGGCCCCCUGGCUCGUACCUGACGCUCAGCCACGAAAGCAUGGGGAGCGAACGGG
This 253-nucleotide ribosomal RNA is filed under the name uncultured bacterium. RNAcentral describes it as "partial 16S ribosomal RNA". It matches the Rfam family "Bacterial small subunit ribosomal RNA", at positions 524 to 776 of the family's 1533-position model. The record is from RNAcentral.